Molecule: non-coding RNA, 186 nt
Filed under: Streptomonospora alba
Lineage: Bacteria; Bacillati; Actinomycetota; Actinomycetes; Streptosporangiales; Nocardiopsidaceae
Source: RNAcentral
UAGCGUCGACGGUGCCGUGGUGUGCGGGAAUCCGGUGUGAAACCGGUGCGGCCCUCGCCACUGUGAUCGGGAGCGCUGUGUCGUUCGUUCGGUGAACGAGCCACUGGGGCCGAAGCCCUGGGAAGGCAGGACACGGCGCGUUUUUGACCCGUCAGCCAGGAGACCGGCCACGGCACUGCACGACCC